GUUUCUGGCUCUGGAGUCUGGCCCCAGCUGUGCCACUGACUCAGUCGCUGUGAGUGAGAGCCUUGGGCAGGCCUCAGCCCUGUUUCCCUUCAGCGUUUGCACAUGGACAACGGGGAAGCCCCCUGCUCUGCCUGCCUCAGGAGCACGGGGACAAGUAAAGCUGACUCCUGGUUUCAAAGAGUCUGCCAUUAUCAGCAGGAGCAAGCACUUUCCAAGCAUCUCCAGGGGCAGGGACUUGGGCUAAGCCCUGGGAAUACGGAAGAACAUCAGACUGCCUCCAGACAUAGUCUCGUCCUCGGACUGGAAGGAAUACAGACAGGGAAGAAGGGAGACAAGGAGAAAGACCUUCUUUGGUGUACCGCUUUACAAUUUAUCAUGUGUUUUCACUUUUUCAGUUACUCUUUAAAAUUUGUUUACAGGGGAUGGGAUGGAAUCUCAGAGAAGCCAAGCACUUUGUCUGAGGUCACAAAGCCUAGGAAGACCAGGCCUCAGGGUAACCUGAUUUUAAAUUCAAGGUUCCUAUGCAGUUGUAAGAUACAGCACACAGAGAGAAGAAGUACCCUUUAUCCAAGUUUUCCCAAUGGUGGCAUCUUGCAAAACUAUAGCCCAUAGUCACAGCCAGGGUGUGGACAUCAGUAUGGCCAAGGUACAGAAUGUCUCCAUGCCCCCACAUAUCCCUCCUCCCUCCGGUUGCAUUUUUACAGCCACACCCACUUCCCUCCCACCUCACCCCUCCUCCUCUGCCCUGGCGGACGGCUAAUCUGUUCUCCAUUCUUCUAAUUCUGUCAUUUCAAGGUUAUCCGAGCAAAAUCAGACCAUGUAACCUUUGGCUUUUUUCGCUCACGCGAGUUUUCUGGGAGUUCAUCUGGGCUGUUGAAUGGGUCAAGACUUCAUUCCUUUUUGCUGCUGAGGGGUUUUCUGUGGUAUGGACAUAUGCUGAACCUGUGGGAGGACAUCUGGGCCCAUUCUGGCUUUUGGCUCUUAUGAAUAAAGCUGCUGCAAACAUUUGC
Molecule: long non-coding RNA, 1010 nt
Filed under: Mustela putorius furo (domestic ferret)
Lineage: Eukaryota; Metazoa; Chordata; Mammalia; Carnivora; Mustelidae
Description: lncRNA (ENSMPUG00000030765.1)
Source: RNAcentral